This is a long non-coding RNA of Photinus pyralis (common eastern firefly), 409 nucleotides long. RefSeq lists it as uncharacterized. The transcript is spliced from 3 exons. The record is from RefSeq and is a predicted model, not a curated record. Lineage: Eukaryota; Metazoa; Arthropoda; Insecta; Coleoptera; Lampyridae.
UAGUUUUGUGAGGAGGUUGUAGGCUCGGAUGUUGUAAGGGGGAAUAUUUUUGUUGUUUUUGUUGUGUAGUAUUAUCACGAAAAUUUAUAUACUACCAUAGUGCAACAAAUCUACACAAUGAUACUACAGACGAGCAUGAGAAACUAUUCCAAAUAUCGGCGGGUAAUGAUACCCACCUCUCCAGGCGUGAUUCCUAGCAGCUUCGGUUGCCUCGUUACUCUGCCGAUCAGAUGUUAGGUAGCUAAAAUCAGAUGCUGCAUGGGUACAUAACCAACAACAAAGCAAAACUGCGGCAACAAUAAAAUAUUCGUUAACCGAUCACAUAGGCGUGCUGAUAUGCUUGAUAAGUAUGGCCAUACCCUUAACAAAAGUACUUACGGGUUUGAACUUACAGGGAGUAAUGUAGUCG